Drosophila suzukii is the source of this 603-nucleotide non-coding RNA. NCBI's taxonomy places the organism in Eukaryota, Metazoa, Arthropoda, Insecta, Diptera, Drosophilidae. The record is from RefSeq and is a predicted model, not a curated record.
GUGGUUGAAGUUUACUACACUUUUUGUCUUUUUGGCAACAAUUUCCCUGUCUGGGGCCCUCGAUGUAGCAUCGAAUAUUAUAAAUGGUAUUCCUAAGGAUCUGGCUAUACCCGAUAUAAUAGGUCCAUUCCGAAGGAUCGGCUUCAAUUUUUACUUUUUUGAACCCAAUAUUAAGCUUACUUGGUUUGGUGCCUUCGAAGCUUGUCGACGAAUGGAGGCUGACUUGCUCGGGUUUGAUAGGCAUGAAGAUUUAGAAUUUCUUUAUCAACACAUCAGUACAGACGAAAAGCUUAAUGGCAGUAAUUAUUGGACUUCUGGCACCGAUUUGCAAUAUGCGCAUAAACAUGUUUGGCUUUCGAAUGGAAAAAACGUGACUUCGAAAUUUUGGGCUAAAUUAGAGCCAAAUAAUCGAGAUAAUAACGAACACUGUGAUGAGCUGGAAUUGCGAGGACGGGACGGGAAAAUGGGUCUUAAUGACAAGCCGUGCUCCACAGAAAUUGGCUAUAUUUGCUAUAAGGCAUCGAGGCCGAAAACAGCUUCUUUUAUAAUAUUUUAGGUUAUUCAGACUAUUAAAAAUAUGUAUUAACAAUUGGUUAUUCCAAA